Molecule: unclassified non-coding RNA, 220 nt
Filed under: soil metagenome
Description: partial contains 5.8S ribosomal RNA, internal transcribed spacer 2, and large subunit ribosomal RNA
Source: RNAcentral
AACCAUUCUCACCUGCGGCUAGACCUGCGGAAGGAUCAUUACAGAGUUGCAAGACUCCCUAAACCAUUGUGAACCUACCUUCUACCGUUGCUUCGGCGGGCGGGCCCAGCGCCCCCCCGGCCCCCCGCGGGCGCCCGCCGGAGGAUACCCAAACUCUUGACAUUAGUGGCCUCUCUGAGUAUUCUUUACUGAAUAAGUCAAAACUUUCAGCAACGGAUCU